ACGUAGGGUGCAAGCGUUGUCCGGAUUUAUUGGGUUUAAAGGGUGCGUAGGCGGCCUAUUAAGUUAGUGGUUAAAGACUGCGGCUCAACCGUAGCACGCCAUUGAUACUGGUAGGCUUGAGUGCGACAGAGGAGACUGGAAUGUGUGGUGUAGCGGUGAAAUGCAUAGAUAUCACACAGAACACCAAUUGCGAAGGCAGGUCUCUAUGCCGCAACUGACGCUGAGGCACGAAAGCGUGGGGAGCGAACAGG
RNAcentral lists this ribosomal RNA (251 nucleotides) under uncultured bacterium. RNAcentral's name for it is "partial 16S ribosomal RNA". It matches the Rfam family "Bacterial small subunit ribosomal RNA", at positions 525 to 776 of the family's 1533-position model. The record is from RNAcentral.